CUACAAUGUUCUUGAAUUCUACCAGAAUGAACUGCUUUUUGCAGAAAUAGAGUAUAUGCAGCAGAGGGAGAUUGACUUGCAAAAUGAUAAUAUGUAUCUCCGACUAAGGCUCAAGAUGGGGCUGAUGUUUCAGGUGUCUUGACAGUAAUGACUCUAGGGAUCGGUCUCUAAAACAGCUUUCAAGGGUGACAGCCAAUCAAGUUUGCAUCAUUUCUGGUAUGUAUGUUACAUUCUCACUAUGGUUGAGCUAUCUUAAAAAGGUAGCUUGUUUGUCCAAUGUUCAAGUGAGGUAGAAGAUAUUUUUCUUGAAACAUAAUAUUCUUUCAGAUUUGGGUAAUCAGAGUUUUUCCUCCUGAUUCAAAUUGUGCUACUUCAGUUAUUACCUGAAUACUUCAGAAUUUCUAGGUCCCUUUAUUUAAUCUUUUGCCAGUUAUGCUGUUUGUCGAAGAUCCUAAAAUUUGAUAUGGGUUAUAGGUAUUUGGCUGAGCUGGACAUACAGGGGAAUGGGAUUGAUGA
Long non-coding RNA from Magnolia sinica, 516 nucleotides. RefSeq lists it as uncharacterized. NCBI's taxonomy places the organism in Eukaryota, Viridiplantae, Streptophyta, Magnoliopsida, Magnoliales, Magnoliaceae. The record is from RefSeq and is a predicted model, not a curated record. The transcript has 4 exons.